Molecule: unclassified non-coding RNA, 196 nt
Filed under: plant metagenome
Description: partial contains small subunit ribosomal RNA and internal transcribed spacer 1
Rfam family: Eukaryotic small subunit ribosomal RNA (bases 1-46)
Source: RNAcentral
AAGUCGUAACAAGGUCUCCGUAGGUGAACCUGCGGAGGGAUCAUUACUGAGUGAGGGCCCCCGGCCCGACCUCCAACCCUUUGUAAACCGACCCUGUUGCCUCGGGGGACUCCGGCGUCUUCGGGCGCCGGGCCCCCGGUGGACCCCCCAACUCUGCGUCUUUGCGUCUGAGUCUUGAGUGAUAAAUCAAUUAAAA